GACGAACGCUGGCGGCGUGCCUAACACAUGCAAGUCGAACGGAAUGGCCCUGCUUAAUUUGGUUGUUGCAGCGGCGAAAGGGUGAUAAACGCGAGCGUAAGCUGCCUUUGACUUUGGGAUGACUUCAGGCCACUGGGGCGAAUACCGGCUUGGAGCUCGUGCUGCAUGCUGGGGGUUGGAACGUUUCGGCGGUUGGGGAUUGACACGCGGGUUAUCAUCUUGUUGGUGGAGUAGCGGCUUACCAAGGCUUUGACGGGUAGGCGGCCUGCGUAGUGGACCGGCGCCAUUGGGACUGCGGGACGGACCAGAAGGCUACGGGAGGCAGCAGUGGGGAGUAUUGCACAAUGGGCGGAAGCGUGAGGAAGAAACGCUGCGCGCGGGAUGACGGCCUGCGAGUUGUAAACCGCUUUCGCCGGUGACGAAGCGUGAGUGACGGUAAUGGGUAAAGAAGCACCGGCUAACUACGUG
This 468-nucleotide ribosomal RNA is filed under the name uncultured bacterium. RNAcentral describes it as "partial 16S ribosomal RNA". It matches the Rfam family "Bacterial small subunit ribosomal RNA", at positions 28 to 507 of the family's 1533-position model. The record is from RNAcentral.